GUGCACGAGGACCCGAGGUGACACCUACCUGUCCUGGCUGAGGGCCAGCGCAGUUAACGUGGACACAGUGGUUCCAGUGCAGCCGAUAACAACAAUUUAUCAUGUGUUUCCCUGGUAACUACAACAUUGUGAACCUUCCUUGAAAACUCCAUUGGGAUUCCUGCAAUGUUUGUGAGCAUAAUGAAUGUGUUUCAGAGCAACCCCCUGAAGUCACUCAGUGCCACCACCACCACUUCUGCCUGGCCAUGGAGCCAGAGGUGACUUCCCCAGCAUGGACUGGAGCAAUGUAACUGCUGGAAGAGGAAAUCUCUCCAUUGUCACCUUACUUGCCAUCAAUUAUUUGGGUGUGUGCCAUUCCAGGCCUCUCCAGAGUAUAUUCUGCAUCUGAUUCAACUUCUACACAUACAGCAUCAAAAUAGACUUUAUUUUUCCUGGUAAAUCUUGCACAGAAUGAAUUCUAGUGUAUGAUUUUGCAUAUCUAGCUUAGAUAAGACAAUCAAGACCAUCACUCAAGUGCUUUGUGUGUCACAGAUGUCCAGCUUGAGA
This is a long non-coding RNA of Vidua macroura (Pin-tailed whydah), 546 nucleotides long. RefSeq lists it as uncharacterized. The record is from RefSeq and is a predicted model, not a curated record. The transcript has 4 exons. Lineage: Eukaryota; Metazoa; Chordata; Aves; Passeriformes; Viduidae.